This 1219-nucleotide ribosomal RNA is filed under the name metagenome. RNAcentral's name for it is "bacterial SSU rRNA". It matches the Rfam family "Bacterial small subunit ribosomal RNA", at positions 59 to 1251 of the family's 1533-position model. The record is from RNAcentral.
GGAUCCUGCGUCUCCGUAAGGUAAUGCGGGUGAGAGUGGCGGAAGGGCGAGUAACGCGUGGGCAACCUGCCUCUAAGUUGGGGACAACUCACCGAAAGGUGGGCUAAUACCGAAUGUGGUUGCUUCGGGCAUCCGGAGCGGAUUAAAGCUGGGGAUCCUUCGGGACCUGGCGCUUGGAGAGGGGCUCGCGUACCACCAGCUUGUUGGUAGGGUAACGGCCUACCAAGGCUUACGGUUAGCUGGUCUGAGAGGAUGGUCAGCCGCACUGGGACUGAGACACUGCCCGGACUCCUACGGGAGGCUGCAGUCGAGGAUCUUUUGCAAUGCGCGAAAGCGUGACAAAGCGACGCUGCGUGGAGGAUGAAGGCCCUCGAGUCGUAAACUCCUGUCAUCCGGGAAAAAUGGCAUUGGCGUAAAUAGCGUUGGUGUGUGAUGGUACCGGAAGAGGAAGCCAUGGCUAACUCUGUGCCAGCAGCCGCGGUAAUACAGAGGUGGCGAGCGUUGUUCGGAUUUACUGGGCGUAAAGGGUGCGUAGGUGGUUCCGUGUGUCGAGUGUGAAAGCCCACUGCUCAACGGUGGAAUGGCAUUUGAAACUGCGGGACUAGAGUGCAGGAGGGGAGGGUGGAAUUCUUGGUGUAGCGGUGAAAUGCGUUGAUAUCAAGAAGAACACCGGCGGCGAAGGCGGCUCUCUGGAAUGUAACUGACACUGAGGCACGAAAGCUGGGGGAGCGAACAGGAUUAGAUACCCUGGUAGUCCCAGCCCUAAACGGUGUGCACUUGGUGUGGGGAGUAUUGACCCUCCCCGUGUCGGAGCUAACGCGUUAGGUGCACCGCCUGGGGAGUACGGCCGCAAGGUUAAAACUCAAAGAAAUUGACGGGGGCCCGCACAAGCGGAGGAGCAUGUGGCUCAAUUCGAUGCAACGCGAAGAACCUUACCAGGGCUUGACAUGUGGCUGCAUGCCUGCUGAAAGGCAGGAGGCCUUCGAGGGUGCCACACAGGUGCUGCAUGGCUGUCGUCAGUUCGUGCCGUGAGGUGUUGGGUUAAGUCCCGCAACGAACGCAACCCUUUUGUUUAGUUGCCACCGCCGGUGAUGAGCCGGCGAGCACUUUAGACAGACUGCCCGUACAAGCGGGAGGAAGGUGGGGAUGACGUCAAGUCAGUAUGGCCCUUACGCCCUGGGCUGCACACGUGCUACAAUGGUCGGUACAGUGGGAAGCG